Small nucleolar RNA from Lotus japonicus, 108 nucleotides. The record is from RefSeq and is a predicted model, not a curated record. NCBI's taxonomy places the organism in Eukaryota, Viridiplantae, Streptophyta, Magnoliopsida, Fabales, Fabaceae.
UUUUUUGUCUAUGAUGAUGAAUGUGAUCCCAGCUCUAUGAGAUCUUCACUAUGUGUGAAGGUCAGGGACUAAGAUUUGUUCCACAUUUAUCUGAGCCACCCCUGAAAA